RNAcentral lists this ribosomal RNA (414 nucleotides) under Aliirhizobium cellulosilyticum. RNAcentral describes it as "bacterial SSU rRNA". It matches the Rfam family "Bacterial small subunit ribosomal RNA", at positions 29 to 490 of the family's 1533-position model. Lineage: Bacteria; Pseudomonadati; Pseudomonadota; Alphaproteobacteria; Hyphomicrobiales; Rhizobiaceae. The record is from RNAcentral.
AACGAACGCUGGCGGCAGGCUUAACACAUGCAAGUCGAGCGCCCCGCAAGGGGAGCGGCAGACGGGUGAGUAACACGUGGGAAUCUACCCAUCCCUGCGGAACAACUCCGGGAAACUGGAGCUAAUACCGCAUACGCCCUUCGGGGGAAAGAUUUAUCGGGGAUGGAUGAGCCCGCGUUGGAUUAGCUAGUUGGUGGGGCAAAGGCCUACCAAGGCAACGAUCCAUAGCUGGUCUGAGAGGAUGAUCAGCCACAUUGGGACUGAGACACGGCCCAAACUCCUACGGGAGGCAGCAGUGGGGAAUAUUGGACAAUGGGCGCAAGCCUGAUCCAGCCAUGCCGCGUGAGUGAUGAAGGCCUUAGGGUUGUAAAGCUCUUUCACCGAUGAAGAUAAUGACGGUAGUCGGAGAAGAAG